UACGGAGGGUGCAAGCGUUAUCCGGAUUCACUGGGUUUAAAGGGUGUGUAGGCGGGCUGUUAAGUCAGUGGUGAAAUCUCAAGGCUCAACCUUGAAACUGCCAUUGAUACUAUCAGUCUUGAAUCUUGUUGAGGUAGGCGGAAUAUGUCAUGUAGCGGUGAAAUGCUUAGAUAUGACAUAGAACACCGAUUGCGAAGGCAGCUUACUAAACAAGCAUUGACGCUGAGGCACGAAAGCGUGGGGAUCAAACAGG
RNAcentral lists this ribosomal RNA (253 nucleotides) under uncultured bacterium. RNAcentral describes it as "partial 16S ribosomal RNA". It matches the Rfam family "Bacterial small subunit ribosomal RNA", at positions 524 to 776 of the family's 1533-position model. The record is from RNAcentral.